This is a long non-coding RNA of Malaclemys terrapin pileata, 394 nucleotides long. RefSeq lists it as uncharacterized. NCBI's taxonomy places the organism in Eukaryota, Metazoa, Chordata, Testudines, Emydidae. The record is from RefSeq and is a predicted model, not a curated record. The transcript has 3 exons.
GGUGGUGGAGGGAACCUUCCUUUAUAAUCUUUAGCUUAGUGGUUAUGGGAUGUGGGAGACCCCCAGUUCAAGUCCCUCCUCUGCCUGAUGAGGAGAAGGAAUUUUAACAGGGAUCUACAUCGCUCAGCGACUGUCCAGUUUGGCCGAUGUACAUAGCAGAGAGGCAUUGCUGGCACGUGAUGGCGUAUAUAACAUCGGUGGAUGUGCAGAAUUCCCCCGGGGUAAAGGAUAUUGACUUUUGAAGGAGAUGCUAAAAUGAGAAGCUGUGACCAAGUUCUGUCAUAGACCAGGCAGUGCCCUGAGUGAUCCAGAAGCUGGUGCUUCCUUAAAAUGCCUGCAAGGUGUGAUCAUCCAACAGUUCCCCUUUCAGGAAGAUGAUUGCCAUAUUACACGC